Molecule: ribosomal RNA, 122 nt
Filed under: Lachnospiraceae bacterium
Lineage: Bacteria; Bacillati; Bacillota; Clostridia; Lachnospirales; Lachnospiraceae
Description: partial 16S ribosomal RNA
Rfam family: Bacterial small subunit ribosomal RNA
Source: RNAcentral
UUAAAUUCGAGAGUUUGAUCCUGGCUCAGGAUGAACGCUGGCGGCGUGCUUAACACAUGCAAGUCGAACGGAGGUGUACGCUGAAGAAGCUUCGGCAGAUUCUUGUGCACCUUAGUGGCGGA